AUUGAACGCUGGCGGCAUGCCUUACACAUGCAAGUCGAACGGCAGCAUGAUCUAGCUUGCUAGAUUGAUGGCGAGUGGCGAACGGGUGAGUAAUACAUCGGAACGUGCCCUGUAGUGGGGGAUAACUAGUCGAAAGAUUAGCUAAUACCGCAUACGACCUGAGGGUGAAAGUGGGGGACCGCAAGGCCUCAUGCUAUAGGGGCGGCCGAUGUCUGAUUAGCUAGUUGGUGAGGUAAAGGCUCACCAAGGCGACGAUCAGUAGCUGGUCUGAGAGGACGAUCAGCCACACUGGGACUGAGACACGGCCCAGACUCCUACGGGAGGCAGCAGUGGGGAAUUUUGGACAAUGGGCGAAAGCCUGAUCCAGCAAUGCCGCGUGUGUGAAGAAGGCCUUCGGGUUGUAAGGCACUUUUGUCCGGAAAGAAAUGGCUCUGGUUAAUACCUGGGGUCGAUGACGGUACCGGAAGAAUAAGGACCGGCUAACUACGUG
Molecule: ribosomal RNA, 490 nt
Filed under: uncultured bacterium
Lineage: Bacteria
Description: partial 16S ribosomal RNA
Rfam family: Bacterial small subunit ribosomal RNA
Source: RNAcentral